Molecule: long non-coding RNA, 469 nt
Organism: Octopus sinensis (East Asian common octopus)
Lineage: Eukaryota; Metazoa; Mollusca; Cephalopoda; Octopoda; Octopodidae
Exons: 3
Source: RefSeq, a predicted model, not a curated record
CGUAAUUAUGGAUCAAUUACUAGAUCAAUGAUUUUCCGAUAGCAAAAAAUACCGUCCAUCAUUCCAUUCAGGAUUUUAUAAAAAAAAAAUACAGGAACAGCAUUUCCUUAUUUAAAGAUGCGACGUGGAGGCUAUUGGCUUUUCACCAAGAAAACAACUAGCUAGAGGUAAAACGAGAUAAGAUAUAUGAUGAUGGAUAGAUACAUGAAUAACAAAUACUUUCUUAAAGAUCAAUUGAAACAGGGAUACAAAAUAGGCUUUGGUGUGAAAAGAAUCCUACCCUUGACAGGAAAUCGCAGAGGCAAAUGAAGGCGCAAAACAGACGUGAAGAUUAUUAUCCAAUGAGAAAAGGAAAGACAAAAACACUAUUUGGAUAAUGCUUCCUAAGUAACCCAAGCAAACAAUCUAAUCAAUAAAUCCAUCUUCUUAAGAUUAAUGCACGAGCAAUAAAAUGUCAAAAUAAGCUUCA